GCCCACCUCAGCCUCCCAAAGUGCUGGGAUUACAGGCAUGAGCCAUUGCGCCUGACCAAGACAUGUAUCUUUAUAGGGCAAGGUUUCUCAACUUCAG
RNAcentral lists this microRNA precursor (97 nucleotides) under Chlorocebus sabaeus (green monkey). RNAcentral describes it as "miRNA (ENSCSAG00000023369.1)". Lineage: Eukaryota; Metazoa; Chordata; Mammalia; Primates; Cercopithecidae. The record is from RNAcentral.